UCAUUCUCUUCCUGGCUUUGCUGGACGACAAGGGACGAAGUGCGAGGUUCAAGUGUUGUUUUUGUGGGCUUUAUAUUGUCUGUAACAUCAAAAUGUUGAAAGAGUGGGUAAGGGAGCGACUCAUUGCAGCCGCCGACGAAAUCUUCGGACUGUUUGAAAGAACGAUAGCGUCCUACGAAGAGGAACUUUGUCGAGCGAGAGAGGAGACCGAGCGGCACCGAAGACAACUGCAAGCUUUUGGCAACUCUCAGAUUGUGUCACGGGUCCACGGUGAAUCUGAUGUCCAGCAGUGGGGAGGGAGCGCCAGUUUGGAGUGGGAGGAUCCACAAUCCCCCUACAUAAAAGAGGAAGAGGAGGAGCCUGGUGUCAGCAGAUUUCCAAUGACGGGUGUCUCUGUGGAAAGUACAGAGGACAUGGAAAAGUCACCCGAGUGGUUACAAUUUUUUGGUUGUUACAGUCCAAAUGGAGACCACUGCGAAGGACCACCACCAGACAACCCCUUCGGUCCACCGUCAGAUGGCGAAAACGUAGAAGAAACUUUGUGGAACGACGCAGACUGCAAAGGAAGCUGCAAAUCCACUGGCAGAUGGCAGGCGAGACGUUAAGCUGGAGAAGCUCGGAGGAGAGGAAUUUGGGGAUGUUGGGGUUUUACGCAGAGCUGAAGUCCACAAACAGGAUCCUCACGCAAACUGCAGGGGUCCUGUGACGCUCUUGAAGUGGUGCAGCUUGAGGCGUUCAAAGGACUUCAUCACCACAGAUGUCAGGGUGACAGGUCUGUAGUUGUUUAGUCCUGAAAUUGCAGGUAUCUUGGGGACUGUGAUGAUCGUGGACCGUUUGAGGCAGGAUGGGACGUCACACCGUUCCAAAGACCUAUUGAAGAGCUGUGUGGAACCUGGGGUGAGCUGGUCCACACAAACUUUCAAGCAGGAGGGGCACACACUGUCUGGACCUGCCGCUUUGUUGAUCUUUUGUAGUUUAAGGACACGUUCCCCGUCCUGUUCGUGACUGGUCAAUGCAGGAAGCCGAGCAGCGGUACGGCGUCAUUGGGGAUGCGUUCACAAAACCAAGUCUCUGUGAAGCAGAGGGCGGCAGAAUGUGCAAAGUCUUUACUGGUCUUUGUGAGGCGAUGAAGCUCAUCCAUUUUGCUGGGUAGAGAGCACAGAUUUGCGAGCCAGUAAAUUCAUUGGAAUCACAUCACCGAAAGCCUCCAAUGCUGAUGCGAUGCGAAAAAGUAGGAAAAAGCUCAAACAGAAUCCAGAGGCCUACCAGAAACAUCUGGAGAGAGAACGCGAGCGAUACAGAAGGAGAAAGUCCCAGGGGAAAAUAAAACAUAUACAAGACCUCCCUGAACUUGAUCAACUUCAGCUAAGGAGGAAAUGGAGUACAGAAAAAAGAUCACAAAGAAAGGAAAGAAAAGAAGCUCAUAAUCAGCCAUCUACUCCAGCUAUGGCAUCUCCAGAGCCUCAGACUAGCAACUCAAAACAGAAGCGUGAUGGAUGUAAGAGAAUGAAGAAAAAUGAGAGACAAGCUUACGGGACUAUAAAAAAACAGAAGGGUGGGGAUAAACAAUCUCACUAACAAAAUGAAAAAUCUGCAAUGACGUAUGAACUACUUGUCAGAACAUUUCAUGACAAUACUGCAUCAAGCACAAACAAGUCCCCUGCCUCAAAAGCCCCCUACACUUGUGAAUAAGGGCAACAUGAAGAAAAUCAGCAAAUAAUAAACAUUUGCACAUGCAGUUCAAGCCAACGUGAAGACAAAUUAAGUCACAAAAUUCCUCAUUGGUUCAAUUCUUAACAAGUACCGGAUGCUUCACAGGAGGAUAGGAAACCUUCCUCUGUUCGCAAAGCCAGACACCCAAAAAGAGAGAAUGUAACUUCCAAUUUCCUUUAAAGUGAGAGACGUUUUCAGUAUGUCUGCUGCAGGCAAGAAAGAGACCAAAGACUAUAAAAGACAAACGACAACGCAGAUAUUUAUGUGAUAUGAUGUUGACUUUGUAUUCAAUGUUCAGAGUGGAGGAGACACCGGUUAGCACAUCUGCCUCACAGUUCUGAGGACCCGGGUUCAAGUCUCGCCUCGCCUGUGCGGAGUUUGCAUGUUCUCCCCGUGCCUGCGUGGGUUUUCUCCGGGUACGAGUUUCCUCCCAUUCCAAAAACAUGCAUGGUAGGUUAAUUGAAGACUCUAAAUUGCCUGUAGGUGUGAAUGUGAGUGCAAAUGGUUCUUUGCUAAUGUGUGCCCUGCGAUUGGGUGGUAACCAGCUCAGGGUGUACCCCGCCUCUUGUCCAAAGAUAGCUGGGUUAGGCUCCAGGACACCUGCGACCCUCGUGAGGAUAUGCGGUACAGAAAAUGGAUUGAUGGAUGUUGUCCCUGACCUUGUCAUUAAUAGAAACAGGAGUACAAUGUCCACGAUGUAAAGUCAAUGUGAAGAAUAUGUAUUUACAGUGGAGGAAAUAAUUAUUUUAUCCCACACUGAUUUUGUAAGUUUACCCACUGACAAAGACAUUAACGGUCUGAAAUUAAUGGUGGGUGUAUUUUAACAGGGAAGGAUAUAAUAUCAAAAAGAAAAUCUAGAAAAUCACAUAAAACAAAACGUUCAAAUUUUUUUUGCAAUUCAUUGAGGAAAAUAUAUGACCCCUCACAGCAGGUAUUUUGGCCCGCUCUUCAUGAGCAAACUGCUCCAGUUGUCUCAGGCUUGAAGGGUGCUUUCUCCAAACAGCAUGUUUCAGCUCCUUCCACAAAUGUUCAGUAGGAUUUCGAUCAGGGCUGAUAGAAGCUAGAACACCUUGAUAGUCUUGAGAUUUCAUUGUGCCCUGCACAGAUUGAAGACACCCUGCGGCAGAUGUAGAAAAGCAGCCUCUUAACAUAAAAAAGCCUCCUACAUGUUUCACAGGAGGGACAGUGUUCUUCGUAUGUUUCAUUUUUGCAUCUGUGAACAUAAAGCGGUGCCUUGACAAAAACGUUCCAGUUUUAUCUCGUCUGUCCAUAGGACAUUCUCACAGAAGCUUUGUGGCUUGUCAACUUGCAACUUACCAUAAUUUUUGUCCAGGUGUGUUUCAUGAGUUUGUUUAACAAAUAAUUCUGUUGAACCACAAUUUAAAAGACAUGUCUGAUUUUCAUUGGUAAUUUUCAUGGAUUACUUUUGUCAGUUUCAAGUUAUUUCUGUGACCACUGUGGGGUUUUCUUUCAUUCACAGAGCGGUGACCCAAAUUUUGUCAAUGUUUGAAUAUAAUGAUUGAUUAAUUCAACAGGUACUUAUAAAGUAAAAAUAUGAGAGCGAGUGUUUAAUUAAUUCAACAGGUAAUUAUGAAGUGUAAAAAUAUGAGAGGGAGUCGAGUGAAUUUAAGGGACGUGUAAUGAAUACAGAAUACAUUUUUAAUAGAACGUUUGUAGUAACAUUAGACUUGAGAAAACAAAAGAUUACAUCAGUCAACAAGUAUUAGAAUUUUUAAGCAUGACAGGACGAGCUCGGACUUGUAUUGGAAAGAAUUCCAGAUACAGGCGCAUAGGAUCCUCAAUGUAAAAAGCCUUUAUUUCUUAGGGCUCAAACAUUAAAGCACACCAAUGUGUUUCGAACCACUGGCCUUCAUUAGGAUGUUGGUAACAAACAGUGUACAGACCUAAUUAUAGUGCCAAUAUGUGACACUUGCACCAUUUUAUAACACACUAUGUGUUCACACUUAUGCAUGCACCUGCCCAUACACAUGCAUAUAUGUGCACCCACAAACAUUUUACAUUUCACUAAUAACAAUUUGUACAUUUGAUUGGUUUGAUUAUCUAUGCAUAACACGAAUUAAUCUAUUACCCUCUUCUUGAUAUCUACAGUAUGUACACUAUUACCUAUAUGUUUUUCUAAACUCUACUUUUUAUCCCUAAAUACAUGACACUUCACCCUCAAUCUCAAAAUACCAAAAUUAAAUAAAAGAAAAUCAGGGUUUGGAUCAAUCACAGGUGCCUAUAAUCUAUUCAUCUUAAACUCAUCCUGUCAUUCUUUCCAUGAAACUCCCAUCUAUCACCCUUUCCCACCAUUUUUUCCCCAUGCUAUGAGGUUGGUUUUAUCCAUGAAACAGUUAUUAGUUGUUUGUUUUUACUAUUAUAAUAAAUAAUAUAACAAUUGUCUUACUUUUUAUUAACAUAACGUUUGGUAUAAUGCCCAAUAAAAACAUGUCAUUUUAAAAAUAUACGUUUUAGGGUCCGUUUGAUUGCAAACAUACGGACGCACAAUCAGGAGACAAUAGAUGUAUUACAGGAGACCAAGUAUUGUUUUUAAAUUAAAUAUUCUUCUGAAUGUUCUGUUUUGUUCUGCAGUACAGUAGAAAUCCUCUUUGUCAUUUUCAUUUUACAGCAUAAGUUUCAAUGCACCGUUUCAUCAUCGUCUUGACUCAAUUUAGGUUUCUUCACUUGUCAUGAUUUACGCAUGUAUUUGCUUUGUACUUUGGGAAACUUGAAUGUGUGUAAAAUGUCACAGACUUCUGGACGCAACAGUGUUUUCGCAAAAUCUGAACAUCUUGUGU
Molecule: RNA transcript, 4511 nt
Organism: Phycodurus eques (leafy seadragon)
Lineage: Eukaryota; Metazoa; Chordata; Actinopteri; Syngnathiformes; Syngnathidae
Exons: 5
Source: RefSeq, a predicted model, not a curated record